Molecule: transfer RNA, 68 nt
Filed under: Krisna quadrimaculosus
Lineage: Eukaryota; Metazoa; Arthropoda; Insecta; Hemiptera; Cicadellidae
Description: tRNA-Gln
Source: RNAcentral
UGUAAAUUAGUGUAUGAAGCACUUAAAUUUUUGAAAUUUAAAGUUAAGUUUAAUUCUUUAUUUUACAA